GUAGGUGGCAAGCGUUGUCCGGGAAUUAUUGGGGGCGUAAAGCGCGCGCAGGCGGUCCUUUAAGUCUGAUGUGAAAGCCCACGGGCUCAACCGUGGGAGGGGUCAUUGGAAACUGGGGGACUUGAGUGCAGAAGAGGAGAGUGGAAUUCCACGUGUAGCGGUGAAAUGCGUAGAGAUGUGGAGGGACACCAGUGGCGAAGGCGACUCUCUGGUCUGUAACUGACGCUGAGGCGCGAAAGCGUGGGGAGCGAACAGGAUUAGAUACCCUGGUAGUCCACGCCGUAAACGAUGAGUGCUAAGUGUUAGAGGGUUUCCGCCCUUUAGUGCUGCAGCUAACGCAUUAAGCACUCCGCCUGGGGAGUACGGUCGCAAAGACUG
RNAcentral lists this ribosomal RNA (378 nucleotides) under uncultured organism. RNAcentral's name for it is "partial 16S ribosomal RNA". It matches the Rfam family "Bacterial small subunit ribosomal RNA", at positions 527 to 896 of the family's 1533-position model. The record is from RNAcentral.